ACGGUGAAAGAUGGGCAUGCGUCUUAUUAGUUAGAUGGUGUGGUAACGGCACACCAUGACUACGAUAAGUAGGGGUCCUGAGAGGGAGAUCCCCCACACUGGAACUGAGACACGGUCCCA
RNAcentral lists this ribosomal RNA (120 nucleotides) under uncultured bacterium. RNAcentral describes it as "partial 16S ribosomal RNA". It matches the Rfam family "Bacterial small subunit ribosomal RNA", at positions 215 to 333 of the family's 1533-position model. The record is from RNAcentral.